RNAcentral lists this ribosomal RNA (440 nucleotides) under uncultured bacterium. RNAcentral describes it as "partial 16S ribosomal RNA". It matches the Rfam family "Bacterial small subunit ribosomal RNA", at positions 338 to 795 of the family's 1533-position model. The record is from RNAcentral.
CCUACGGGCGGCAGCAGUGGGGAAUAUUGCACAAUGGGGGAAACCCUGAUGCAGCGACGCCGCGUGAGUGAAGAAGUAUUUCGGUACGUAAAGCUCUAUCAGCAGGGAAGAAAAUGACGGUACCUGACUAAGAAGCCCCGGCUAACUACGUGCCAGCAGCCGCGGUAAUACGUAGGGGGCAAGCGUUAUCCGGAUUUACUGGGUGUAAAGGGAGCGUAGACGGCAGCGCAAGUCUGGAGUGAAAUCCCAUGGCUUAACCAUGGAACUGCUUUGGAAACUGUGCAGCUAGAGUGCAGGAGAGGUAAGCGGAAUUCCUAGUGUAGCGGUGAAAUGCGUAGAUAGUAGGAGGAACACCAGUGGCGAAGGCGGCUUACUGGACUGUAACUGACGUUGAGGCUCGAAAGCGUGGGGAGCAAACAGGAUUAGAUACCCGAGUAGUC